RNAcentral lists this unclassified non-coding RNA (1363 nucleotides) under Hevea brasiliensis (rubber tree). Lineage: Eukaryota; Viridiplantae; Streptophyta; Magnoliopsida; Malpighiales; Euphorbiaceae. The record is from RNAcentral.
AAAAUCCCUCACACCGACUUCCUGGCGCGUUCUAUUGUAGUUGCAGUUGUAGUUCUCCUUUCUUCAACAUUGAAAUUAAAAAGGAAAAUUGACCUUUCGAAAUAAAUGGCAUCAACCGAUCCUCAAGAAUUCGUUCAAGAACUCUCACCGCUCCCAAAGGUUCUAGUUCCCAAAAUACCACCGUCUUUCUGCAUCAUUGGGGAAGAGCCCUUUACCUCCACCAAAUUCCAGUACUUGAAAGCAUACGAGUCUCCGCUCCCUCUUGAUCAGUUCUUGGCCACUCAUGCGCACUCCGUAAAGGCCAUCCUUUCUACCGCAAGUGCUCCCGUCACUGCUGACCUCCUGCAGUUGCUGCCGGCGGUGCGCCUUGUCGUCACCACCAGCGCCGGCCUCAACCAGAUUGACCUCCCUGAAUGCCGGCGUCGUGGAAUAGCCGUCGCUAACGUAGCCACUGUCUAUUCUGCUGACGUCGCAGAUCUUGCUGUUGGUUUGUUGAUCGAUGUUUUGAGGAAGAUUUCGGCAAGCAAUCGCUACGUCAAGCAAGGGAAUUGGCCCACCAGAGGGGACUAUCCUCUUGGUUCUAAGUUGGGAGGAAAGCGGGUUGGAAUUGUUGGACUGGGAAAUAUUGGGUAUGAAGUUGCUAAAAGGCUUGAAGCCUUUGGUUGCUGUAUCUCUUAUAACUCCAGGAAGAAAAAGCCAUAUUUCUCGUACCCUUUCUAUGAAAAUGUCUGUGAACUUGCAGCCAAUUGCGAUGCCCUCAUCAUCUGUUGCGGGUUGACAGACCAAACCCGCCACCUGAUCAAUAAGGAAGUCUUAUCAGCACUGGGGAAGAAAGGAGUCAUUGUUAAUAUCGGACGUGGGCCUAUUAUUGAUGAAAAGGAAAUGGUAAGGUUUUUGAUGGAAGGAAAGAUUGCAGGCGCUGGCUUGGAUGUGUUUGAGAAUGAGCCUGAUGUUGCUAAGGAGUUUUUUGCAUUGGAUAACGUUGUGCUGUCGCCACAUUGUGCUGUCUUUACGCCAGAAUCAGUGAAGGAUUUAAGUGAACUUGUGGUGGGGAAUCUGGAAGCUUUCUUCUCAAACAAACCAUUACUUUCUGAAUAUGUGGAUGAAUGAUGGGUGAAACCUUUUAUUCACCGGUUAGUUUCUUUAUUAGUUUGUGAUUGGUGCCCUGUUAGUGAAGUAAGAAGUAACAAACUUUUGAGAAAGUUUCAUCUUGCUACCUCAUUAUUCUAGAGUUUUCGAUGAUUAGUUAUGGUGAUGAUGUUAUGUUUACUGGUCAUGUUUUAUAUAAUAGCAAGACAUAAUGCACAUAGUUUCUUCAAAAAUUGAUGCUUUUUUUUUAAUGACAAUCUCCUCCUAGAAAAAG